This 153-nucleotide small RNA is filed under the name Rhizobium sp. NXC14. Its description in RNAcentral is "miscellaneous other RNA". Lineage: Bacteria; Pseudomonadati; Pseudomonadota; Alphaproteobacteria; Hyphomicrobiales; Rhizobiaceae. The record is from RNAcentral.
CCGUUUCAGCACCGAUGCCCAUUUCCUUUCGCUUCCGCUCGGCGCAGACGGUCAUCGUCCUCGCCGUCACCCAGCUGAUCGGCUGGGGCACGACCUUCGACAUGCUCGGAGUCAUGGGCCGCAUCGUGGCGGCCGAUCUCGGCAUGGCGAACG